CCUGCCGGCGGGCACCGCUAUUGGAGUUCGCUUAAGCCAUGCGAGUCGAGAGGGGUAAGCCCUCGGCGCACUGCUCAGUAACACGCGGAUAAUCUGCCCUCGAGUGGGGGAUAACCCCGGGAAACUGGGAAUAAUACCCCAUAGCCGUUCCAUGAUGGAAGGCUGGGACGGCGAAAGCUGAGGCGCUCGAGGAUGGAUCUGUGGCCUAUCAGGUCGUAGGGGGUGUCACGGACCCCCUAGCCGAAGACGGGUACGGGCUAUGAGAGAAGUCGCCCGGAGAUGGGUUCUGAGACAUGAACCCAGGUCCUACGGGACGCAGCAGGCGCGAAACCUCCACAAUGUGGGAAACCACGAUGGGGGAACUCCAAGUGGAUGCACUUUGUGUAUUCUGUUCUCGAGCCUAAAAAGCUCGAGAAGUAAGGGCCGGGUAAGACGGGUGCCAGCCGCCGCGGUAAUACCCGCGGCCCGAGUGGUGCUCAUUAUUAUUGAGUCUAAAGCGUCCGUAGCCGGCCGGGUAAAUCUCUGGGUAAAUCGGGCGGCUCAACCGUCCGAAUUCCAGAGACACUGCCCGGCUUGGGAUCGGGAGAGG
This 589-nucleotide ribosomal RNA is filed under the name uncultured Thermoplasmatales archaeon. RNAcentral's name for it is "bacterial SSU rRNA". It matches the Rfam family "Archaeal small subunit ribosomal RNA", at positions 13 to 608 of the family's 1478-position model. The record is from RNAcentral. Lineage: Archaea; Methanobacteriati; Thermoplasmatota; Thermoplasmata; Thermoplasmatales.